Molecule: ribosomal RNA, 497 nt
Filed under: uncultured bacterium
Lineage: Bacteria
Description: partial 16S ribosomal RNA
Rfam family: Bacterial small subunit ribosomal RNA
Source: RNAcentral
GAUGAACGCUGGCGGCGUGCCUAAUACAUGCAAGUCGAGCGAACAGACGAGGAGCUUGCUCCUCUGACGUUAGCGGCGGACGGGUGAGUAACACGUGGAUAACCUACCUAUAAGACUGGGAUAACUUCGGGAAACCGGAGCUAAUACCGGAUAAUAUAUUGAACCGCAUGGUUCAAUAGUGAAAGACGGUUUUGCUGUCACUUAUAGAUGGAUCCGCGCCGCAUUAGCUAGUUGGUAAGGUAACGGCUUACCAAGGCAACGAUGCGUAGCCGACCUGAGAGGGUGAUAGGCCACACUGGAACUGAGACACGGUCCAGACGACUACGGGAGGCAGCAGUAGGGAAUCUUCCGCAAUGGGCGAAAGCUUGACGGAGCAACGCCGCGUGAGUGAUGAAGGUCUUCGGAUCGUAAAACUCUGUUAUUAGGGAAGAACAAAUGUGUAAGUAACUAUGCACGUCUUGACGGUACCUAAUCAGAAAGCCACGGCUAACUACGUG